CCAACCUCGCCGGCUGUUAACACAGCAAGUCCGAACGAUGAACCCUUCGGUGGGGUUAGUGGCGAACGGGUGAGUAACACGUGGGCAAUCUGCCCUGCACUCUGGGACAAGCCCUGGAAACGGGGUCUAAUACCGGAUACUGAUCCUCGCAGGCAUCUGCGAGGUUCGAAAGCUCCGGCGGUGCAGGAUGAGCCCGCGGCCUAUCAGCUAGUUGGUGAGGUAACGGCUCACCAAGGCGACGACGGGUAGCCGGCCUGAGAGGGCGACCGGCCACACUGGGACUGAGACACGGCCCAGACUCCUACGGGAGGCAGCAGUGGGGAAUAUUGCACAAUGGGCGAAAGCCUGAUGCAGCGACGCCGCGUGAGGGAUGACGGCCUUCGGGUUGUAAACCUCUUUCAGCAGGGAAGAAGCGAAAGUGACGGUACCUGCAGAAGAAGCGCCGGCUAACUACGUGCCAGCAGCCGCGUAAAUA
RNAcentral lists this ribosomal RNA (475 nucleotides) under Streptomyces sp. RNAcentral describes it as "bacterial SSU rRNA". It matches the Rfam family "Bacterial small subunit ribosomal RNA", at positions 32 to 525 of the family's 1533-position model. The record is from RNAcentral. Lineage: Bacteria; Bacillati; Actinomycetota; Actinomycetes; Kitasatosporales; Streptomycetaceae.